AGCUUUGCGCAGUGGCAGUGUCAUAGCCAAUGAGGUUUAUCUGAGGCGCGAUUAUUGCUAAUUAAAUUACAUACACAUAAUUGAUUAUCAGAAAAUGCUUUCAUUGAUUCUUGCUGAACCCAUGUUU
This 127-nucleotide small nuclear RNA is filed under the name Suricata suricatta (meerkat). RNAcentral describes it as "U4 spliceosomal RNA (ENSSSUG00005003008.1)". It matches the Rfam family "U4 spliceosomal RNA". Rfam says of the family: U4 small nuclear RNA (U4 snRNA) is a component of the major U2-dependent spliceosome. The record is from Rfam by way of RNAcentral. Lineage: Eukaryota; Metazoa; Chordata; Mammalia; Carnivora; Herpestidae.